Molecule: ribosomal RNA, 2925 nt
Filed under: Escherichia coli
Lineage: Bacteria; Pseudomonadati; Pseudomonadota; Gammaproteobacteria; Enterobacterales; Enterobacteriaceae
Description: bacterial LSU rRNA
Rfam family: Bacterial large subunit ribosomal RNA
Source: RNAcentral
GGGUUGUGAGGUUAAGCGACUAAGCGUACACGGUGGAUGCCCUGGCAGUCAGAGGCGAUGAAGGACGUGCUAAUCUGCGAUAAGCGUCGGUGAGGUGAUAUGAACCGUUAUAACCGGCGAUUUCCGAAUGGGGAAACCCAGUGUGUUUCGACACACUAUCAUUAACUGAAUCCAUAGGUUAAUGAGGCGAACCGGGGGAACUGAAACAUCUAAGUACCCCGAGGAAAAGAAAUCAACCGAGAUUCCCCCAGUAGCGGCGAGCGAACGGGGAGGAGCCCAGAGCCUGAAUCAGUGUGUGUGUUAGUGGAAGCGUCUGGAAAGGCGCGCGAUACAGGGUGACAGCCCCGUACACAAAAAUGCACAUGCUGUGAGCUCGAUGAGUAGGGCGGGACACGUGGUAUCCUGUCUGAAUAUGGGGGGACCAUCCUCCAAGGCUAAAUACUCCUGACUGACCGAUAGUGAACCAGUACCGUGAGGGAAAGGCGAAAAGAACCCCGGCGAGGGGAGUGAAAAAGAACCUGAAACCGUGUACGUACAAGCAGUGGGAGCCUCUUAAUGGGGUGACUGCGUACCUUUUGUAUAAUGGGUCAGCGACUUAUAUUCUGUAGCAAGGUUAACCGAAUAGGGGAGCCGAAGGGAAACCGAGUCUUAACUGGGCGUUAAGUUGCAGGGUAUAGACCCGAAACCCGGUGAUCUAGCCAUGGGCAGGUUGAAGGUUGGGUAACACUAACUGGAGGACCGAACCGACUAAUGUUGAAAAAUUAGCGGAUGACUUGUGGCUGGGGGUGAAAGGCCAAUCAAACCGGGAGAUAGCUGGUUCUCCCCGAAAGCUAUUUAGGUAGCGCCUCGUGAAUUCAUCUCCGGGGGUAGAGCACUGUUUCGGCAAGGGGGUCAUCCCGACUUACCAACCCGAUGCAAACUGCGAAUACCGGAGAAUGUUAUCACGGGAGACACACGGCGGGUGCUAACGUCCGUCGUGAAGAGGGAAACAACCCAGACCGCCAGCUAAGGUCCCAAAGUCAUGGUUAAGUGGGAAACGAUGUGGGAAGGCCCAGACAGCCAGGAUGUUGGCUUAGAAGCAGCCAUCAUUUAAAGAAAGCGUAAUAGCUCACUGGUCGAGUCGGCCUGCGCGGAAGAUGUAACGGGGCUAAACCAUGCACCGAAGCUGCGGCAGCGACACUAUGUGUUGUUGGGUAGGGGAGCGUUCUGUAAGCCUGUGAAGGUGGCCUGUGAGGGUUGCUGGAGGUAUCAGAAGUGCGAAUGCUGACAUAAGUAACGAUAAAGCGGGUGAAAAGCCCGCUCGCCGGAAGACCAAGGGUUCCUGUCCAACGUUAAUCGGGGCAGGGUGAGUCGACCCCUAAGGCGAGGCCGAAAGGCGUAGUCGAUGGGAAACAGGUUAAUAUUCCUGUACUUGGUGUUACUGCGAAGGGGGGACGGAGAAGGCUAUGUUGGCCGGGCGACGGUUGUCCCGGUUUAAGCGUGUAGGCUGGUUUUCCAGGCAAAUCCGGAAAACCAAGGCUGAGGCGUGAUGACGAGGCACUACGGUGCUGAAGUGACAAAUGCCCUGCUUCCAGGAAAAGCCUCUAAGCAUCAGGUAACAUCAAAUCGUACCCCAAACCGACACAGGUGGUCAGGUAGAGAAUACCAAGGCGCUUGAGAGAACUCGGGUGAAGGAACUAGGCAAAAUGGUGCCGUAACUUCGGGAGAAGGCACGCUGAUAUGUAGGUGAAGCGACUUGCUCGUGGAGCUGAAAUCAGUCGAAGAUACCAGCUGGCUGCAACUGUUUAUUAAAAACACAGCACUGUGCAAACACGAAAGUGGACGUAUACGGUGUGACGCCUGCCCGGUGCCGGAAGGUUAAUUGAUGGGGUUAGCGGUAACGCGAAGCUCUUGAUCGAAGCCCCGGUAAACGGCGGCCGUAACUAUAACGGUCCUAAGGUAGCGAAAUUCCUUGUCGGGUAAGUUCCGACCUGCACGAAUGGCGUAAUGAUGGCCAGGCUGUCUCCACCCGAGACUCAGUGAAAUUGAACUCGCUGUGAAGAUGCAGUGUACCCGCGGCAAGACGGAAAGACCCCGUGAACCUUUACUAUAGCUUGACACUGAACAUUGAGCCUUGAUGUGUAGGAUAGGUGGGAGGCUUUGAAGUGUGGACGCCAGUCUGCAUGGAGCCGACCUUGAAAUACCACCCUUUAAUGUUUGAUGUUCUAACGUUGGCCCCUAAUCGGGGUUGCGGACAGUGUCUGGUGGGUAGUUUGACUGGGGCGGUCUCCUCCUAAAGAGUAACGGAGGAGCACGAAGGUUGGCUAAUCCUGGUCGGACAUCAGGAGGUUAGUGCAAUGGCAUAAGCCAGCUUGACUGCGAGCGUGACGGCGCGAGCAGGUGCGAAAGCAGGUCAUAGUGAUCCGGUGGUUCUGAAUGGAAGGGCCAUCGCUCAACGGAUAAAAGGUACUCCGGGGAUAACAGGCUGAUACCGCCCAAGAGUUCAUAUCGACGGCGGUGUUUGGCACCUCGAUGUCGGCUCAUCACAUCCUGGGGCUGAAGUAGGUCCCAAGGGUAUGGCUGUUCGCCAUUUAAAGUGGUACGCGAGCUGGGUUUAGAACGUCGUGAGACAGUUCGGUCCCUAUCUGCCGUGGGCGCUGGAGAACUGAGGGGGGCUGCUCCUAGUACGAGAGGACCGGAGUGGACGUAUCACUGGUGUUCGGGUUGUCAUGCCAAUGGCACUGCCCGGUAGCUAAAUGCGGAAGAGAUAAGUGCUGAAAGCAUCUAAGCACGAAACUUGCCCCGAGAUGAGUUCUCCCUGAGACUUAGAGUCUCCUGAAGGAACGUUGAAGACGACGACGUUGAUAGGCCGGGUGUGUAAGCGCAGCGAUGCGUUGAGCUAACCGGUACUAAUGAACCGUGAGGCUUAACCUUACAACGCCGAAG